GGGCCCCGCCAGAGGCCCCUUUGUUGCCAAGGGUCUCCCCAUCUCCAAGGCCAGAGGGUGAGCCCUUUCAGAUGCUCUAACUGGGCCUGAUUGCUGCCAUGGAGAAUCCAGGAGAAACAAACAAACAAACAAAAAAACAAUAGAAGAUUUCUUCACACCCGGUGCUGGGCACCAGGACCCCCUGGGAGGCCCGUGAACAAGCAGUCCCAACCACACCCCUGACAGAUCCUGACUCGGCACGUCUGUGGUGAGGCCUAGCAAUCUGCAUCUUGAUACCAGUGAAGGAGGGGCAGGGCGAUAGGGGGUGAGAGAAUAAAAAAGAAAACAGAACUGUAAGAAAUUAAGUUUAACUGCCCUCAGUUAUCAACUAUUAAAAAAUCUGAC
Phyllostomus hastatus (greater spear-nosed bat) is the source of this 384-nucleotide long non-coding RNA. RefSeq lists it as uncharacterized. The transcript has 2 exons. The record is from RefSeq and is a predicted model, not a curated record. Lineage: Eukaryota; Metazoa; Chordata; Mammalia; Chiroptera; Phyllostomidae.